Pelobates cultripes (western spadefoot toad) is the source of this 101-nucleotide non-coding RNA. The record is from the annotation of a GenBank genome assembly. Lineage: Eukaryota; Metazoa; Chordata; Amphibia; Anura; Pelobatidae.
AAAAAAGGAAGUGGAGACAACUUUUCGGCUCCUCUCUGAGCCUUUAUCAGAAUUGAUAAAGGCUCAGAGGGGAGCCGAAAAGUUGUCUCCACUUCCUUGUU